Priapulus caudatus is the source of this 507-nucleotide long non-coding RNA. RefSeq lists it as uncharacterized. The record is from RefSeq and is a predicted model, not a curated record. NCBI's taxonomy places the organism in Eukaryota, Metazoa, Priapulida, Priapulimorpha, Priapulimorphida, Priapulidae. The transcript has 3 exons.
ACGCUAUCCAGCGACCGAACUAAGCACCGUGACAGGCUGCGUGCGUCGUAGGUACGGGCAUGUGUAGGUAGCUAGCUGGCUGAAUGGGUCAGUAGCGCGCUAUCUACUGCGUGGGACGUUUGCAACACAAGUCUGAUACGAGAACACCAUUCGGAUGUACAGUGACUUCAUUCAUGGGUAAACCAGCUGACCUGUAUGACCGCUCACAUACUGACUGGGCUCCUACAUUGCUGCUUGCGGACACACUGACUCCAGGGAACUCACGUAAAAAGAUCCUGAAUGGGGAAACAGACUUAAAAAGCAAUUUUGAGGAGAACCUAGAUAGGACGUUAAUUCUACGAGUGUUAGUGUGACGAGGCCGUCUCCGAAGCAAAAUACGAGGACGUAACUUGAGCGCCGGACAGGGUAGAUACUUGACGUCUGUGACCAGAACGUGGCAGCUUUCCCUGAAGCACGAUGGAAUACGUGAGAAUUAAUUCCGGGGGAAAACCAUAUGAGUGCGAACUG